GAACGCUGGCGGCAUGCCUUACACAUGCAAGUCGAACGGCAGCACGGGAGCAAUCCUGGUGGCGAGUGGCGAACGGGUGAGUAAUAUAUCGGAACGUGCCCAGUCGUGGGGGAUAACGCAGCGAAAGCUGUGCUAAUACCGCAUACGAUCUAUGGAUGAAAGCGGGGGAUCGCAAGACCUCGCGCGAUUGGAGCGGCCGAUAUCAGAUUAGCUAGUUGGUGGGGUAAAAGCUCACCAAGGCGACGAUCUGUAGCUGGUCUGAGAGGACGACCAGCCACACUGGAGCUGAGACACGGUCCAGACUCCUACGGGAGGCAGCAGUGGGGAAUUUUGGACAAUGGGCGAAAGCCUGAUCCAGCCAUGCCGCGUGCAGGAUGAAGGCCUUCGGGUUGUAAACUGCUUUUGUACGGAACGAAAAGGCUCUGGUUAAUACCUGGGGCUCAUGACGGUACCGUAAGAAUAAGCACCGGCUAACUACGUG
This 481-nucleotide ribosomal RNA is filed under the name uncultured bacterium. RNAcentral describes it as "bacterial SSU rRNA". It matches the Rfam family "Bacterial small subunit ribosomal RNA", at positions 31 to 507 of the family's 1533-position model. The record is from RNAcentral.